GUUAAACAAGUGCUUGAAGGCAGUAUGCUUGGUAAAAGUCAUCGCCAUUCUCUAAUCUUGAGUACCCAGGGACACGAUACACUGCGGAAGGCUGCAGGGACCUCUGCCCAGGAAAGCCAGGUGGUUUCCAAAAGGAAAAGCUUUGGGAGAUAGAAGUCCUCGUUUUGACCUCUGCCCUCCUUGUACACCAGGAGCCAGAAAAACUUCAUCUCUUUUACAAGAAACAUUGAGAUUCCUGUAAAAUUAAGAAAUCACACAAUUUGAUGGUCUACAUUAUCUAAAGCAAAUGAGACUUCUAUUUGGAACAAAGACUACCUUGUUGGGAAAUGAGUCUGCAAGUUAAAGUGUUUUCUGAGCUCAGAUGGAAAAGAAUGGUGUUACUGAGACCCUUCAAGAUUCCCAGUGUAAUUCAAUAAAGAAAAGGCAACACAAAGGGGUUGUAUAGAAUUCGCCACAUUAUGGACCCAUGUCAUAGAGAGAAUCCACGGUGCAUUUGUUAGCUGCAUUUAAAUGACAACACUUUCAGAUCCAAGAUUUAUUUGGGAUAAAAAUUUACCUGGAUGCAAGGCUAUUCAGAAUGAAGAUUAAUGAUAUGGUUUGGCUGUGUCCCCACCCAAACUUCAUCUUGAAUUCCCACGUGUUGUGAGAGGGACCUGGUGGGAGAUAAUUGAACCAUGGGGGCAGGUCUUUCUCAUGCUGUUCUCAUGAGAGUGAAUAAGUCUCAUGAAACCUGAUGGUUUUAUAAGGGGGAAUUUCCCUGCACAAGCUCUCUCUCUGCCUUUUGCCAUCCAUGUAAGACGUGACUUGGUCCUCCUUGCCUUCUACCAUGAUUAUGAGGCCUCCCCAGCCACGUGGAACUAUGAUGCAUAUCAUAAAUUAUUACUCACCCCAUGUUCCCACCCUCGAGAGACCUCCAAACAAUCACCAUGCCACAGUGAACAUUCAGUAACAAAAAUUCAGCCAGGGUUUUCACCAGCAUGAAUGGCAGUGAUUCCAAUCAGGAAAACAGAAAGAGGAGAGUUCAGAGCCACCUAGAAUGGCUCUUGCAAGAUACGAAAUCAAGGCAGCAGCAACAGGGCUGAACAUUCCUCAUCCCUAACUCUCCCUUCACCAGUAGGAAACCCAGGAUAACUGCAAUCACCGCAGGCCCAUCUGGCCUGAAGUUCUACUACUAGUAGCCCUCCAUGGGACCUUCUUAAGGAAGCAUGUCAACUCAGGUAAGGGAUGUAAGGGGAUGGAUGACCCUUUGAGGCCAAAGUUGGAGCAAAAAACACCAGAUGUUCCUGUGCACUGCUCCUAAGAGAUGGUUCUGAAGACCAGUUCGGGGAGAGGUCAAAAUACUGGACAGAAUCUCAGCAACAUGGAACCUCAAACUAAGUGACAGUCACAGACAACUCUUCCCCAAAGAAAAUAAGCACAGACAUGGUUUGUGGUAAGCAGAAUUAUAAAGAUGAAUUCCCAUCUCCCUGUCAGAUUACCAGUAUGGUAAAUUACCAGAUUACCUGGUUAUUUAUUCAAACACUAAUACAGUUAUUGCCUUGAUGGAAACAUACAGAUACAAUUAAAAUCCCAAGUACCAAAUAAAUUGACCUUAAGACAAAGACUAAGUAAAUCACAUGAGCCCUCUACAAGCAGAGAGUUUUUCUCCAGCUGGUAGCAGAAGCCAGAGAUUUGAAGCAUAGGAAGUAUUCAACACAUUAUUGCUGGCCUGAAAAUGGAAGGGGCCACAUAACGAGGGAAACCGGUGGCCUCUAGAAGCAGGGAGCAGUCCCCUGCUGACAGACAGCAAGCCAAGACCUCAGUUCUACAAUUGCAAGACACUCAAUUCUGCUAAGGACAAAAAUGAGCUUGGAAGUGAACUCUGAGCUUCAGGUGAGAACACGGCCAAACAACACCUUGAUUUCAGCUUAAACAAAGAAUGCAGCCACUCCAUGCCAGAAUUCUGACCUGUAGAAAUUUGAGCUAAUAAAUAGAUGUUUUAAU
Long non-coding RNA from Homo sapiens (human), 1983 nucleotides. Ensembl annotates it as HIF1A stabilizing long noncoding RNA. Its record names the gene HISLA. Lineage: Eukaryota; Metazoa; Chordata; Mammalia; Primates; Hominidae. The record is from Ensembl.